RNAcentral lists this ribosomal RNA (497 nucleotides) under uncultured bacterium. RNAcentral describes it as "partial 16S ribosomal RNA". It matches the Rfam family "Bacterial small subunit ribosomal RNA", at positions 28 to 507 of the family's 1533-position model. The record is from RNAcentral.
GAUGAACGCUGGCGGCGUGCCUAAUACAUGCAAGUCGAGCGAACAGACGAGGAGCUUGCUCCUCUGCCGUUAGCGGCGGACGGGUGAGUAACACGUGGAUAACCUACCUAUAAGACUGGGAUAACUUCGUGAAACCGGAGCUAAUACCGGAUAAUAUAUUGAACCGCAUGGUUCAAUAGUGAAAGACGGUUUUGCUGUCACUUUUAGAUGGAUCCGCGCGGGAUUAUCUAGUUGGUAAGGUAAAGGCUUACCAAGGCAACGAUGCGUAGCCGACCUGAAGAGGGGAAUCGGCAAAACUGAAACUGAAACACGGCCCGAACCCUAAGGGAGGGCGGAGGUGGGGAUUUUGCCGAAAGGGGGGAAGGCCGGACGAAGCAACGCGGGGUGGGUAAUGAAGGCCUUCGGUUGGAAAAACUCUGUUAUGGGGAAAAAAAAAAUGUGUAAGUAACUAUGCACGUCUGAAGGGAACCAAAGAAGAAGGCCAGGCUAAACUCCGG